Molecule: long non-coding RNA, 1619 nt
Organism: Ictalurus punctatus (channel catfish)
Lineage: Eukaryota; Metazoa; Chordata; Actinopteri; Siluriformes; Ictaluridae
Source: Ensembl
UGAGUCCUGUUUCACUAGAGGAAGUCAGUGUAUAUAAAAUGAAUCCAUCAUAUCAGAGCAAAGUACAAUAUAUACUGUAUGAGGCAUGUGCCGAUGUUGUCACGGUAACUGUGCAAGUUUUUAAUCACGCGUUCACAAUACUAUAAUUUAACGUCAUUUCCAAAUUUACAAACUGCCUAACAAGGUUCCCUACACCAAACAAUCCUUGGGUAGUGAUGGUGUAAUAAAGCCUCCUUGAUAACACGCUUAUAUCAAGGAUACUCUGAAGCGUUUAAACAAUCAGAGGCUUCGUAAAUAUUUCUUGAUGAUAUAAAAAUAAACUUGCGGCUGGUUUCAAACUGUUGCUAUCAAUACAUUUCGUAAGGUUGUUCUUCUUUUUUCUUUUUCUACACACUCUUUGUUUACCGUGGCAAAAAGUGAAGACGUCUUUGAACCAGGAAAAUAGAGACGAAACGAGAGAUGACUAAUCUGAGACGGAGAGAAAGGGGCGGGGCCUCCAAGUGGUCAGUUCAUAUCAGAGAGUUCACACCUAAUACAACUGUCAAUCACUCCAGAUUCACAUGUCGAUUGGUUCAUUUGGCUCUUUUUGUGUAUUUCUGAUUAAUAACUCGUAGCAGCGUACUCCGACUGUAAAAUGGGGAGCUCCUGCGCAAAACGUGUGAAAAAUAUGCACACGUCCCCACCUGCCAAUCAGGAAGGAGUAUUUUCCCAUGGUGUAACAUAAUACAUCGCAUAACAGAUUAUCAGGACAAUUUUCCAGGAUGCAUGUGAAGUGUCAAGUGUCGUAUCUCCGAGAAGUAACCGAUGCUGAUGAAAGUUCUAUAAAAGCGUCAAAUAAAUUGUUAUCAAAAUGCAUGCAUGGAUUUUAAACAUUUAGAUUAGCAAGCUAAGGGCUAAGCCAUGAGGGAGCUGUGUGAGAAAACAUGCUAAUCUGAGAAUAUCAUAAACAGUGAUAUUUGUACUUGUGAUAAUCGUGACAUCGGCACAUGUAUAAAUAUGCAUUUGGGUCUAGUGUGUGUGUGUGUGUGUGUGUGUGUGUGUGUGUGUGUGUGUGUGUGUGUGGUAGCUAGGUGUGGUGCUCACCUCUGACAUCACCCCUACAAACCUUCAUGACCUCAUCCAGGGCCAGGUACCUCCCACUUUUGGGCAACACACUCUCAGACCCCACCCACGUAAUGCAUUCAUAUUGAGACCUGACUUCAAGACUCCUCCCCUUUUAUCUCCUUUUCUCAUAUAAUGCAAUAACAGUGUGAGACCCCCAGAAACUUCAAGUUUCCACCCCUUUUCUAGACAAUCAAUCUCAUAUUGCAUUAAUAGUGUGACUCCAACCACCUGCUGUCAGACUCCGCCCCCACUCACAGUCGUAACCAAUGCAUUAUAUCUGAAUCCCUUUUAAGGCCCUGGAUUUCAUAUAAUGCAUUUGUUAUAAGUCUCCGCCCAUCUCUCAGACUCCACCCCCUCUUUCAUCUCCCACUGUCACAUAAUGCAUUUGUUAUAAGACUCCUCCCACAUUAGACCCCCCCCCCCCCACACCCAUUUGAGAUAGCAAGACUCCACCCAUUUAUAACACUCCAUAUCUCAAUAUAAUGCAUUAGUAAAGAGUUCCCCGGGCACUUCCU